ACUCCUACGGGAGGCAGCAGUGGGGAAUAUUGCACAAUGGGCGCAAGCCUGAUGCAGCCAUGCCGCGUGUGUGAAGAAGGCCUUCGGGUUGUAAAGCACUUUUCAGUUGUGAGGAAGGUGGUGUCGUUAAUAGCGGCAUCAUUUGACGUUAGCAACAGAAGAAGCACCGGCUAACUCGUGCCAGCAGCCGCGGUAAUACGGAGGGUGCGAGCGUUAAUCGGAAUUACUGGGCGUAAAGCGCAUGCAGGUGGUUUGUUAAGUCAGAUGUGAAAGCCCGGGGCUCAACCUCGGAACUGCAUUUGAAACUGGACAGACUAGAGUACUGUAGAGGGGGGUAGAAUUCAGGUGUAAGCGGUGAAAUGCGUAGAGAUCUGAAGGAAUACCGGUGGCGAAGGCGGCCCCCUGGACAAAGACUGACGCUCAAGAUGCGAAAGCGUGGGGAGCAAACAGGAUUAGAUACCCUGGGAGCAC
RNAcentral lists this ribosomal RNA (471 nucleotides) under uncultured bacterium. RNAcentral describes it as "bacterial SSU rRNA". It matches the Rfam family "Bacterial small subunit ribosomal RNA", at positions 335 to 796 of the family's 1533-position model. The record is from RNAcentral.